CAGAGUAGAAGCAUAAGCGUGAAGUGUCGUGAGGACGGGGAGUUGCCCACGAACGAAAAGAGAAUUCUUGCGGUUUAUGUUUCGCAUCCCGCUGC
RNAcentral lists this non-coding RNA (95 nucleotides) under bovine gut metagenome. Its description in RNAcentral is "THF riboswitch". It matches the Rfam family "THF (Tetrahydrofolate) riboswitch aptamer". Rfam says of the family: THF riboswitch presents a pseudoknot that joins P1-P2 and the loop of P3 and two THF binding. The record is from RNAcentral.